This 1950-nucleotide ribosomal RNA is filed under the name human gut metagenome. RNAcentral's name for it is "bacterial LSU rRNA". It matches the Rfam family "Bacterial large subunit ribosomal RNA", at positions 1 to 1989 of the family's 2925-position model. The record is from RNAcentral.
UUAAAGUAGUAAGGGCGCAGGGUGGAUGCCUUGGCACUAAGAGCCGAUGAAAGACGUGAUAAGCUGCGAAAAGCUUCGGGGAGGAGCACAUAUCCAAUGAUCCGGAGAUAUCUGAAUGGGGAAACCCGGCAGAGGAAACCUCUGUCAGCGUGCAGUGAAUACAUAGCUGUACGUGGGGAACCCGGGGAACUGAAACAUCUAAGUACCCGGAGGAAGAGAAAGAAAAUUUAUCGAUUUCCAAAGUAGCGGCGAGCGAAAUGGAAAGAGCCCAAACCGUGAUGCGUGCAUCGCGGGGUUCGGACUGCGUUGUGGCAGACGUAAGAUAGGAGAACGGACUGGGAAGUCCGGCCGGAGAGAGUGAAAGCCUCGUAUCCGAAAUCCCAAGUCGCCUGGCAGGAUCCAGAGUAGGACGAGACACGAGAAACCUUGUCUGAACGAGCGGGGACCACCCCGUAAGGCUAAAUACUUCUUAGUGACCGAUAGCGCAUAGUACUGUGAAGGAAAGGUGAAAAGUACCCCGGGAGGGGAGUGAAAGAGAACCUGAAACCCUGUGUCUACAAGCUGUGGGACCUCUUUAUAUGAGGGACUGCGUACUUUUUGUAGAACGGUCCGGCGAGUUGUGCGUACUGGCGAGGUUAAGGACUUAAGGUCUGGAGCCGAAGUGAAAGCAAGCGUUAAUAGCGCGUCAAGUCAGUGAGUGCAGACCCGAAACCGGGUGACCUAUCCAUGUCCAGGUUGAAGCUUCCGUAAGAGGAAGUGGAGGACCGAACCCACAUCCGUUGAAAAGGGUGGGGAUGAGGUGUGGAUAGCGGAGAAAUUCCAAUCGAACCCGGAGAUAGCUGGUUCUCCUCGAAAUAGCUUUAGGGCUAGCCUCAUGAGAGUCUUAUGGAGGUAGAGCACUGAAUUGCCUAGGGGGCGUCAAAGCUUACCAAAGCAUAUCAAACUCCGAAUGCCAUCAAGAUGAUUCAUGGGAGUCAGACCAUACGAGAUAAGUUGGAUGGUCAAAAGGGAAAGAGCCCAGACCUACAGCUAAGGUCCCAAAGUACGUGUUAAGUGGAAAAGGAUGUGGGGAUUCUAAGACAACUAGGACGUUGGCUUAGAAGCAGCCAUUCAUUGAAAGAGUGCGUAAUAGCUCACUAGUCGAGAGUCCCUGCGCCGAAAAUGUCCGGGGCUGAAACACGACACCGAAGCUUAGGAAUGUGUAAACAUUGGUAGAGGAGCAUUGCUGGCGGGAUGAAGCCAUACCGUAAGGAGUGGUGGACUGCCAGGAAGAGAGAAUGCCGGAAUGAGUAGCGAGAUGAAGGUGAGAAUCCUUCAGGCCGAAUAUCUAAGGUUUCCAGAGUAAAGCUGAUCUGCUCUGGGUAAGUCGGGACCUAAGGCGAGGUCGAAAGACGUAGUCGAUGGAUAACAGGUUGAAAUUCCUGUACCGCAUAUAAACAGAACUGUGGGGACACAGACAGGGAAUGGAAUCCGGGAAUGGAUAUCCCGGUGCAAGCGAGGUAGGAGUGCUGUUGGCAAAUCCGCAGCACGAUCUGAAGACGUGACGCGUACCGAACAUAAGUAGGGAAGUCCAGGCCCCUGGCUGUCAAGAAAAGCCGCUAUUGUUUUAUAUGUGCCCGUACCGCAAACCGACACAGGUGGAUGAGGAGAGAAUCCUAAGGCCGACGGGAGAAGUAUUGUUAAGGAACUCGGCAAAAUGACUCCGUAACUUCGGGAGAAGGAGUGCCAUGAGAGUGGCCGCAGAGAAAUGGCCCAAGCAACUGUUUAGCAAAAACACAGGUCUAUGCAAAACCGCAAGGUGAAGUAUAUGGGCUGACGCCUGCCCGGUGCUGGAAGGUUAAGGGGAGAGGUUAGCGCAAGCGAAGCUUUGAACUUAAGCCCCAGUAAACGGCGGCCGUAACUAUAACGGUCCUAAGGUAGCGAAAUUCCUUGUCGGGUAAGUUCCGACCC